This 26-nucleotide unclassified non-coding RNA is filed under the name Mus musculus (house mouse). RNAcentral's name for it is "oocyte_clustered_small_RNA5251". The record is from RNAcentral. Lineage: Eukaryota; Metazoa; Chordata; Mammalia; Rodentia; Muridae.
UCGCAAUUUCCUGAAGUCUGCAUCAA